UGCAGAAGCUGCAGGGCGUUUACAACCUGCAGGAUCCUCACUUCUGGACUUUGUGUACGGACGUUUACAUCGGGACGUUAAAACUGCUGGUCGCUCCUGAUGCCGACACACGCUGGAUCCUCAGCCAGACGCACAACAUCUUCACACAGGCUGGAGUUCGGCAGCUGUACGUUCAGAUUGAGACGGCCUCCAUGUAGAAGCCCCGCCUCUUCUGAACACCUGGGACCAAUCACCUUUCAGUCUGCUGCAGGUGACCUCUGACCCACCUCCCAGAGUCAAUGAAGGACAGACAGCGUGGGGGGGGGGGGCAGUGAGACUGAACUACCAAGAUGCUCCAGCCAAAAAUGGCCUCUCUCCCCCCUAAGUUCUUUCUUUCUUUUUACGUACCUGACCCCCCCACACCCCUCGCUGCACUUUGUAGACUGGAGCAAAAGCAUUCUGGGUAAGUGCCUUCAUCAUGAAUCAGAGACAAUUUGAGCCCCCCCUCCCUAUGACAUCACCGGCGUGUGAUGUCACUGUUUUUAAAACGUGCCAAAUCAUGUGACCAGACGGGGGGUUUCAGUCUUCUUCUUUUUUCAACUGUAAUAAAUAAAUAAUUGUUUCU
Molecule: long non-coding RNA, 604 nt
Organism: Gymnodraco acuticeps
Lineage: Eukaryota; Metazoa; Chordata; Actinopteri; Perciformes; Bathydraconidae
Exons: 2
Source: RefSeq, a predicted model, not a curated record